UAGGGAAUCUUCCGCAAUGGGCGAAAGCCUGACGGAGCAACGCCGCGUGAGUGAUGAAGGUCUUCGGAUCGUAAAACUCUGUUAUUAGGGAAGAACAAAUGUGUAAGUAACUAUGCACGUCUUGACGGUACCUAAUCAGAAAGCCACGGCUAACUACGUGCCAGCAGCCGCGGUAAUCCGUAGGUGGCAAGCGUUAUCCGGAAUUAUUGGGCGUAAAGCGCGCGUAGGCGGUUUUUUAAGUCUGAUGUGAAAGCCCACGGCUCAACCGUGGAGGGUCAUUGGAAACUGGAAAACUUGAGUGCAGAAGAGGAAAGUGGAAUUCCAUGUGUAGCGGUGAAAUGCGCAGAGAUAUGGAGGAACACCAGUGGCGAAGGCGACUUUCUGGUCUGUAACUGACGCUGAUGUGCGAAAGCGUGGGGAUCAAACAGG
Molecule: ribosomal RNA, 429 nt
Filed under: Actinomycetes bacterium
Lineage: Bacteria; Bacillati; Actinomycetota; Actinomycetes
Description: Actinobacteria bacterium partial 16S ribosomal RNA
Rfam family: Bacterial small subunit ribosomal RNA
Source: RNAcentral